ACAUACCACAUUCUCUUACAAAAUCUAACUUGUAACAGAUAAUUUACAUUUCUAGAGAACAAGCUCUUUAUGGUACAUAGAAAUAAUCCUGUCAUACAGUGACCAUUCAGAGAGGGAUAAAAACCUUAUAUAUGAAACUUUCACUAAUAACCUGAAACAUCACCACAGAGACAGUUGGGUUAUCCUGUUUGUUUGGACAUCCACUUAUUCACUUGAAAUGCAGGAAAUCUAUUUGAAAAAAACAAAACAAAACAUGAUCAGUUACUUGAUACAAUCAUGAGAUGUGAUCGAGAAAAACUUAUUAAGGAAUUAUUUUGUCAGAGUCAGUCUCUCUCAACAAGAUUUACAGGCCAGUUGUUGACAUUGUAGUAUCCUCUCUUUGAACACUGGAAUUGAGCAACUUCAAAGAGUCAUUGGACCAAGGUCUUCAUGCUUCAAAUAAACCUGCAUCAAAGAAACCUGGCUAGAAGACAAAGAUCAUGCUUUAUUCCCCCACAAAAGGAUUAUGUUUAGAUUUAAUGUUGAUGCCUCAGUUAAGUGCUCACUUUGAAAAUCAAUACAACAUUGUGUGCUUGGUUGGCUCAAUACCUCUCAGUCAAUAUUAAUAAAAAAACAGCAACAAAACAA
Molecule: long non-coding RNA, 627 nt
Filed under: Homo sapiens (human)
Lineage: Eukaryota; Metazoa; Chordata; Mammalia; Primates; Hominidae
Description: long intergenic non-protein coding RNA 2745
Source: RNAcentral